GGUGUGGUGGCUCAGUGGUAGAGUGCUUGCCUUGCAUGCAUAAGGCCCUGGGUUCGAUUCCUCAGCACCC
This 70-nucleotide transfer RNA is filed under the name Dipodomys ordii (Ord's kangaroo rat). It matches the Rfam family "tRNA". From Rfam's summary of the family: Transfer RNA (tRNA) molecules are approximately 80 nucleotides in length. Their secondary structure includes four short double-helical elements and three loops (D, anti-codon, and T loops). Further hydrogen bonds mediate the characteristic L-shaped molecular structure. tRNAs have two regions of fundamental functional importance: the anti-codon, which is responsible for specific mRNA codon recognition, and the 3' end, to which the tRNAs corresponding amino acid is attached (by aminoacyl-tRNA synthetases). tRNAs cope with the degeneracy of the genetic code in two manners: having more than one tRNA (with a specific anti-codon) for a particular amino acid; and 'wobble' base-pairing, i.e. permitting non-standard base-pairing at the 3rd anti-codon position. The record is from Rfam by way of RNAcentral. Lineage: Eukaryota; Metazoa; Chordata; Mammalia; Rodentia; Heteromyidae.